RNAcentral lists this ribosomal RNA (502 nucleotides) under uncultured bacterium. RNAcentral describes it as "bacterial LSU rRNA". It matches the Rfam family "Bacterial large subunit ribosomal RNA", at positions 420 to 922 of the family's 2925-position model. The record is from RNAcentral.
GGACACGUGAAAUCCUGUCUGAAGAUGGGGGGACCAUCCUCCAAGGCUAAAUAACUCGUAAUCGACCGAUAGUGAACUAGUACCGUGAGGGAAAGGCGAAAGAACCCCGGGACGGGGAGUGAAAUAGAUCCUGAAACCGACAUGCAUACAAACAGUGGGAGCCUCGCAAGGGGUGACUGCGUACCUUUUGUAUAAUGGGUCAGCGACUUACGUUCUGUAGCGAGCUUAACCGAAUAGGGGAGGCGUAGCGAAAGCGAGUCUGAUAAGGGCGCUUUAGUUGCAGGGCGUAGACCCGAAACCAGAUGAUCUAUCCAUGGCCAGGAUGAAGGUGCCGUAACAGGUACUGGAGGUCCGAACCCACUAAUGUUGAAAAAUUAGGGGAUGAGCUGUGGAUAGGGGUGAAAAGGCUAAACAAAUACUGGAAAUAGCUGGUUCUCCCCGAAAAGCUAUUUAGGUAGCGCCUCAUGUAUCACUCGCGGGGGUAGAGCACUGUAAUGGUUGG